This 119-nucleotide ribosomal RNA is filed under the name Helianthus annuus (common sunflower). Lineage: Eukaryota; Viridiplantae; Streptophyta; Magnoliopsida; Asterales; Asteraceae. The record is from RNAcentral.
GGUUGCGAUCAUACCAGCACUAAUGCACCGGAUCCCAUCAGAACUCCGCAGUUAAGCGUGCUUGGGCGAGAAUAGUACUAGGAUGGGUGACCCCCUGGGAAGUCCUCGUGUUGCAACCC